Molecule: long non-coding RNA, 214 nt
Organism: Physella acuta
Lineage: Eukaryota; Metazoa; Mollusca; Gastropoda; Physidae
Source: RefSeq, a predicted model, not a curated record
GUAUCUCAGAUAUAAUGAAUUAGCUGUUAUUCAUUUAAAAGCCUUCAAAAACUUGUAUCAGCUACGAAUUUUAGAUUUAAGUGAAAAUCGUAUUGCUGAGGUUAGUGUGAUGAAUGUUAACUUGCCGCACAUACCGAACCUUUUUGUAGACAUACGGGGAAACCCCGUCAGCCGGAUAGAUGGUUAUAUUCUGUUAACCAUGGUUGGUUUUAAA